RNAcentral lists this small RNA (70 nucleotides) under Myotis lucifugus (little brown bat). RNAcentral's name for it is "GRIK4 3 prime UTR element (ENSMLUG00000029775.1)". Lineage: Eukaryota; Metazoa; Chordata; Mammalia; Chiroptera; Vespertilionidae. The record is from RNAcentral.
UAGAGGCGGUGGAGAUAAGAACGGAGCCAAGGUGGUGGAGGCGGGAGGCGGGAGGGAAACCAGUCGGGCA